Molecule: long non-coding RNA, 405 nt
Organism: Pocillopora damicornis (cauliflower coral)
Lineage: Eukaryota; Metazoa; Cnidaria; Anthozoa; Scleractinia; Pocilloporidae
Source: RefSeq, a predicted model, not a curated record
GAGAAAUCAGGUUAAUAUAGAUCAAGAGUUUAAUUGUGGUUUUUCUUCUCUUUCAUCUUUCAUGUUGUUUUCUUUCAGAGACAGGGAGAUGAUGAAAGAAGUCAACUCACGGACUAUAAGAAUAAGAGAAUGGAUACUAGAUCAGGCAACUGAAGGAUAAAAAAAGGAACCGAAGUAAUUUGAUAUGUUUUAGUUUUCUGUAAUGGGUUACUAUAAGGAUUAAUAGUAAAAAUAAAUUUGAGCUGUAUAUUUUAAAUUAUUUUAAAGGAUAGGCUCUUUCAAAUUUUAUUUUCUGUCAAUGAAAAGAAUUUUACCCAUAUCUUGAGCUAUGACAGUGAAAACAUCUCAUUAAGAUGGAAUUCUUUACAAUCGUUAAAUGUUCAAUAAAAAACCACUGUUUACCUA